UGAAGUGAUGAAAACCUUGAGUAGGAAGUGCCGUCAGAUGCGACAACUGACGAUAUGUCGUCCACUUUUCUGAAU
Anabas testudineus (climbing perch) is the source of this 75-nucleotide small nucleolar RNA. Ensembl annotates it as small nucleolar RNA SNORD49. NCBI's taxonomy places the organism in Eukaryota, Metazoa, Chordata, Actinopteri, Anabantiformes, Anabantidae. The record is from Ensembl.